This 775-nucleotide ribosomal RNA is filed under the name uncultured Neocallimastigales. RNAcentral's name for it is "partial large subunit ribosomal RNA". It matches the Rfam family "Eukaryotic large subunit ribosomal RNA", at positions 18 to 616 of the family's 3401-position model. Lineage: Eukaryota; Fungi; Neocallimastigomycota; Neocallimastigomycetes; Neocallimastigales. The record is from RNAcentral.
UCAGACGAUGCGUCAUGCAUAUCAAUAAGCGGAGGAAAAGAAACUAACAAGGAUUCCCCUAGUAACGGCGAGUGAAGCGGGAAGAGCUCAAAUUUGAAAUCUUAAAGGGUUUCCCUUUACGAAUUGUAGUUUAAAGAAGUGUUUUCUGUUGAGGUUUUGGUAAAAGUUCUUUGGAAUAGGACAUCAUAGAGGGUGAGAAUCCCGUAUUUGACCUUUACUUUCAACUUUGUGAUACACUUUCAAAGAGUCGGAUUGUUUGGGAAUGCAGUCCAAAAUGGGUGGUAAAUUUCAUCUAAAGCUAAGUAUUGGCGAGAGACCGAUAGCGAACAAGUACCGUGAGGGAAAGAUGAAAAGAACUUUGAAAAGAGAGUUAAACAGUACGUGAAAUUGUCAAAAGGGAAGCGUUUGACACCAGUGUUGUUUUUCUGAAAAUCAAUUAAAGAACUGUUUAUGCUAAGCUGUUUAGACUUUAUCAGCUAUCUGUUUAGUUUUGAGUUUUUCUUUAAUGCACUUUUCAGUUAACAAGUCAACAUCGAAUUUCUUUUGCUGUAAAAAAGCUUGAGGAAGGUGGCUUGAGAUUCGUCUUAAGUGUUUAUAGCCUCUUGCCUAUGCAGUCGGAGAGAUUGAGGUCUGCAGCGUAGAUCCUUCGGGGCUAAAUGCAUUUGUGCUAAGUUAUAGCAUUUUAUAGACAACUUGUUGACUAUGAUUUGUCUUGUAGCUUACUCGCUUAUGUUAUUUUACCUACGCUUAGGAUGUUGAGCGCAUGUCUCUCUCU